Molecule: RNA transcript, 5678 nt
Organism: Myxocyprinus asiaticus (Chinese sucker)
Lineage: Eukaryota; Metazoa; Chordata; Actinopteri; Cypriniformes; Catostomidae
Gene: arl8
Gene name: ADP-ribosylation factor-like 8
Exons: 6
Source: RefSeq, a predicted model, not a curated record
UAAAGUGAGUGUUUUGGACUGUAGUCCUCCUUUUGGCCGAUGUCCAGCACAAGUGAGCUAAUGUUAAUGCUAGUAUGCGUGUUAACAUCUUGAUCCAAACAAAGCCAUCGUACUACUUUUGUUCACAACAAAAGUUUUCCUCAUCUCUUAAGGUGACUAGAUAUGCGUUCACCUCAUAGUUGUUAUGAUUUAUUACCGGUUAGCUGUGUCCCUUACCUUCUCUCGUUAGUUCGAUCAAACAGGAGAAAUAUAGUGGUAAAGAUAACAUAAACACACAGGAUGGCCACCGGUCUCCUACAUGAAUUAAACAGGAACCGAGGAUUUCCACUUGUUGAAACGAUCCAGUGGUUUCUAAAGGAUGUAGAUAGUAACACAGAGCACAAGGUGAUUAUUGUGGGGCUGGACAAUGCUGGGAAGACCACUAUACUUUAUCAAUUUUUAAUGAAUGAGGUGGUGCACACUUCUCCUACGAUUGGCAGUAAUGUUGAGGAAAUAGUGGUAAAGAAAACUCACUUCCUAAUGUGGGAUAUUGGUGGUCAGGAAAGUCUCCGCUCCUCUUGGAACACAUACUACUCCAACACUGAGUUCAUCAUACUGGUAGUGGACAGUACUGACCGAGAGAGACUAGCCAUUUCUAAAGAAGAGCUCUACAAAAUGCUUGCCCAUGAGGACUUGCGCAAAGCUGCAGUGUUGAUCUUUGCUAAUAAGCAAGACAUGAAGGGUUGUAUGUCUGCAGCAGAGAUUUCCAAAUACCUGACCCUCAGCUCCAUCAAGGAUCAUCCCUGGCACAUUCAGUCCUGCUGUGCGCUCACUGGAGAAGGGUAAGAUUGUUGCUCCGUAUACAAGGUUAAUGAUGCUGUCCUGAUGCUAUAGCUGUCACAGAUGCUAUAUUAUGAUUAGUAAAGCUGGGUAUCGAUACAAAUUUCCUGAUUCAUUAGAUUCUAAUUCACUAGCUCUCAUUACGAUGUUGAUUACAUUUUAUUUGAUUCUGACUAGUUUGGAUAUAUUUCAGCCAUAAUGUUGAAUGACAGCAGCUUGACGAUUCACAAUGCCAAUUUCAAUAACAAAUACUUGCUAUUCGAACACACAUUUUUUCUAGUUUAAGUAAUUAUUCAAGAUAAGUAAACAGUCUACUAGGCUGCAUUUACAUUUUAAGCUGUUUGUUCACUUUAAUGUUUAAACAUGAUUGACUGUGUUUAUAUUAAUACCUCAUCAAGACGGGCAUUUUAUUUAUUUUUUUUUCAUCCCAAUUUGGAAUGCCCAAUGCGCUCUGAGUCCUCGUGGUGGUGUAGUGACUCGCCUCAAUCCGGGUGGCGGAGGACGAAUCUCAGUUUCCUCCGUGUCUGAGGCCGUCAAUCCGCGCAUCUUAUCACGUGGCUUGUUGAACACGUUACUGCGGAGACAUAGCGCAUGUGGAGGCUUCAUGCUAUUCUCCGCAGCAUCCACGCACAACUCGCCACGUGCCCCACUGACAGUGAGAACCACACAUUAUACUCUACCCUCCCUAGCAACUGGGCCAAUUUGGUUGCUUAGGAGACCUGGCUGGAGUCACUCAGCAUGCCCUGGAUUCGAACUCGCAACUCCAGGGGUGGUAAGACGGGCAUUUUCAAAGAAUUUUGAAGCGUAUUUUACCGUGUAGGCACAUUUCUGCAAGCUCACAAAAAGCAAAACAGUGCACAAGGACCAGAAAGAGUAAAUAAAAGGCUGUGUCAGGGUUUAGAGUGGAUGACCUCAAGGGCUGGACUCAGAUAGCCACCAGUUCUCUUUGGGCUGAUAAAUGGUUCCCGCCAUCCCUGGUGGAAUUGCAGGCUCAUCCCAUUGGCUGCUGAUGUUUUUAUUUUUUAUCUCUUGAUCAAAACUGACACUAUGCAGCUGAACUUUCUGGACACCUACCUCAGCUGGGAUUUUUGGGUUAAUUGAAUCUGGUUUGACAAACUCUUUGAUCAAUACUAUUUCAGGAGCAACUGGAUUUCUUACUGGGUGCAUAAGAGGAGAAAUUCAAAGACUCAAGUAUAUCACUACAGAAAGGCACUACGGUGUCAGUGUGACAUUGUGAGGAGGAAAUGUUUGUGUGUUUUUAACACUGGCAGUGGGCAGAAGUUCUCUGGAUGGGUAUAUUAAGCUAAUCUUGUUGUAUGUUUUCCUUUAAAUUCAAUGGGGAAGACAUGAUUUAAUUGGUUAUGUUCUCCUAAAUGGUUGCUUCCAUGUUACUAUUUCACAUGGGGAAAACUUUAGGCCAUUUGUUGUCAUUUGUAUGUUUUCAGUUAACCUGUUUUGGUAUCAAGUGUUUAAGUGCCAUUGGUACCCACCAACACCACUACAUGUCAUGAAAACAUCUAAACAUAUCACUUAGUACAUAUUACCUCCGUCAUGCGGUAUAUUAAAGGGUGCUGUUACUAUUUGAAAGGAUACUAUUACAGCUUGAAACAUCAUUUAUGUGUGAUGCGAUUUAAAGAAUGGUGUUCUUUGUGCUUACUUCUGUAAGAUAAGGCAGUGUGGCCACUUGUCUGUCAUGCGUGUUGUUGUUUUUUCUGUUUUUGAUGAAAUGGCACAUGCUAGAUUGCAGCAAUGUAUGAUAACAUAUUGAAUUGUUUGAUAGAGAUGUGUGGGUGAUGUUGAGUAUGUGAGAUUGCAUCUGAAAUUGUUACUCGCUGCUUUUAAAAGUCACAUGGCCCAUCACUGCAGAUGAAAUAGCAUGUUUUUGUCUGUGUGAGUGUGUGUGUGUGUGUGUGUGUGUGUGUGUGUCAUUUUAAAUAACCAUGCUCCUCGCUGGAUUGGAGUUUUAUUGUAAAGAUCAUUCAGUUACCGUGCGGAAGUAAUGUUAAAGAUUAACUCGAUGAAGCCACCAGUAUUAUAAUUUUAGACAUAUUUUGUUCUUUUUUUCUUACACCCCUCCCACCCUUUUUGGUGCAAAUAAUAUUUCACUACAGAUGAUCUGUCUGAUGUCUUUACAGGUCAACCAGCUUUAACAUGUUAUAUGUGCUUAUGAGAGUGUCUGUUGCUGUAUGAGUGGUUGCCAUUUUAUUCAGACCUUUUCAGGUCCUGGACAUUUUUUUAAAUUAAUUAAUUAAUUGGUUGAUUUGGUAUCCUCUUUGAUGUUUCCGUAUGAGCACUAGUGCUGAUAUAAUUUCUCGUGGUGAUUUUGCCAAAAUGCUUUUAUGGUCUUUGCUGAAAACUGUGCUUUGUGUUUGGAUUGAUUUUCCAUUCUCUCCAUGCGCUUGUCCUUUAGUAAGGGGAAUUCUUGCAAGAACUGAAUACAGUGACUACAAAUUGGUGCUCUCACUGACAUUUCUCUCACAACAGAUGAAUCUCUUUGCAUAAUUAUUAUUGUCUGCUGAUCUAGGCAGAUCAAUUCCAUGGAUCGGUCUCUCUCUCUCUACAUAUAUUUAUGUUGUGGGUUUUUGGGGCAUCACCCAUUACCUUCCUGUUGUGGGUGGCUAUUCAGUUUUCAUAUAAUAAUUAUAAUAAAAUUUCACAUGGAGGCUUUUCAGAUUGGAAAAGGAAUUGGAGGAAACGACCCCUGAAAUGAAUUUUGGCUUCUGUGACCAUUAGCAAAAAGAAAGGGAAAAAAAGGCAUUGUUGGGCAUAUUUAUGUAAACUCUAACCUGAGAUCAAGCCAGUUCGUGUUUGCUUUUUACUGUCUAAAGCAGUAUGCAUAUCCCAAUGUACACCAUUAAAAACCACAAUUACAAAGUAUUUCUACAACAUGUUGAACAGAGAGUACAAAUGUGUCUUAGCAGAAUGGGAAUAAUGUGUUGCUGCAAAAGGGUUCAAAUAAAUGUAAUCUUCAGCAUCAUUGCUGAAGUUCAAGGUCAAACCAUUUGGUUCUCAGAUGUGCCAUUUAUAAAUGAGCAGAUGAAAUCUGUAGCAAAUUUCCUAAUUCUUAUAGUUUUAUAAUAAAUGCUUUUAUUUUGAAAUCUGAAAUAUUUAUUGUUGCAUUAUUUGUUGGUCAAUGUUUUUCUGUUAAGCGCACCUGUUUAGAAGUAGACCUCAAAAUUCAUUCAAAAGUUAUUGUUAGAAUGAUGUUCAUAAAAUGCAGCUUGAUCCAUAUAAAUGGACUUUCUAAGUUCAUGUAUGUUGUGCUUUUGUGAGUUUAAUUAAGCAUAUUCUUCUACUUUCAGGUUAUCAUGAAAAAAAAACUGGUUGCUUUCCCAAUGUCUACAAUAUGACUCAUUAUUUCAAAACAGCAUGCAAUUUUAUGACCAACAUUUCAUUAAAUGAAAAUACAUUUGGGAUUUUUAUGGAUCAAAUGGAUGGGAAAUUAGCCAUGUUGAGAGUUAAACAGCUCACCAGAUGAAUUGAACCUUUCGGUGACGUCUCCUCUCCAUCUGCCUCCCUCAGACCCCUGCUAUGCCACCACUGACAAAUGCCUACAGUAAAUAGAAACACAACUAUAUUUAGAAAUGCUCAUGGUAAUCUGACUCUGAACACUGGGAAACAGGAUUCAUUGAUAGUCGAUAUAACCUUUCAUUGUGUUAUCAGUGUAUACACAUUAAAGUGAUUACAGAAAGGCAAUUUUGCAAUUGUUAAGUUACAAUUAGAACAGUGUAAAUAAAAACAAAUGUUAAGAAAUCUUAAUGUCAUUUUGGAGUCAGAUCUUAGUUUCAGUAGUCGCAUCAAAGCAAUAACUAAAUCAGCCUACUAUCAUCUAAAAAAAUUAAUCCAGAAUUAGAUGUUUUGUAUCUAGUGAAGACUUAGAGAAACUUGUUCAUACAUUCAUCACAAGUAGGAUAGACUACUGCAAUGGACUCCUAACCGGCCUUCACAAAAAGACCAUUAGACACCUGCAGCUCAUUCAGAAUGCCGCUGCCAGGAUUCUCACCCGAACCAAAAAAUUGGAGCAUAUUACUCCAGUCCUCAGGUCUUUACACUGGCUUCCAGUUACAUUUAGAAUAGAUUUUAAAGAACUAUUACUCGUUUUUAAAUCACUCAAUAGCCUAGGACCUAAAUACAUUUCAGAUAUGCUUGUUGAAUAUAAACCUAACAGACCUCUCAGAUCAUUAGGACCAAGUCAGUUAGACAUACAGAGGGUUCGCUCAAAACAAAGUGAGACAGCGUUUAGCUACUAUGCCACCCGCAGCUGGAACCAGCUUCCAGAAGAGGUUAGAUUUGCGCCAAACAGUAGCCACAUUUAAAUCCAGACUGAAAACACUUCUGUUUAGCUGUGCAUUUAUUGACUGAGCACUGUGCUGCACUUAUUGAUUUCACUGAAUCAUUUUGCUUUUGUCUUUUCAUUUUAGUUAUUCUAUUUAAUUAUUUUUAUUUUAUAUAACUUUUUCUCAAUGUGUUUACAAUUUUUGGUUAUCCUCUGUUUAAUCAGGGAAGGUUAACAACAGUUACGUGUGGUGUUAACAACUUAGUUAUCCUCUGCUGUGCCAGGGAAGGUGAACAAAAAUUAAAGUGUGUAUCAGCAAUUUUUGGAUAUCCUCUGUUGAAUCGGGGAAGGUUAACAGCAGUUACGGAUGGUGUUAACAAUUUAAUAUUAUUUUUCUUCUUAUUCAUUUGAAUCAUUUGACAUUUUUUCAAAUUUAUUUUAUUAUUCUUAUUUCAUGUUCUUAAUUUUUUUUCUUUUUUUUUAUGUAUCUUGUAUUUUCUUUAAAAUGUAUAUGUAAAGCACUUUGAAUUGUCAUUGUGUAUGAAAUGUGCUAUAUAAAUAAACUCGCCUUGCCUAAAAGACA